UACGUAGGGUGCAAGCGUUGUCCGGAAUUAUUGGGCGUAAAGAGCUCGUAGGCGGUCUGUCGCGUCGGCUGUGAAAACUCGGGGCUCAACCCCGAGCCUGCAGUCGAUACGGGCAGACUUGAGUGCGGUAGGGGAGACUGGAAUUCCUGGUGUAGCGGUGAAAUGCGCAGAUAUCAGGAGGAACACCGGCGGCGAAGGCGGGUCUCUGGGCCGUAACUGACACUGAGGAGCGAAAGCGUGGGGAGCGAACAGG
RNAcentral lists this ribosomal RNA (253 nucleotides) under uncultured bacterium. RNAcentral describes it as "partial 16S ribosomal RNA". It matches the Rfam family "Bacterial small subunit ribosomal RNA", at positions 524 to 776 of the family's 1533-position model. The record is from RNAcentral.